AACAAAAAAACCUUGCAUCAUCAUGUAUCAUAUAGAAUGUGUGUACGUGUGUGUGUGGGGGAAAUAUCUGAAAAGAAAAGAGAGCCCUUGGGGAUUACGGAUGAAGCAUCGUUUUUAUGUAUAAAAGUGUGUGCAUGAUCCGCUCCGGCGUUUGUGUGUGUUCUCCAUUUUUUUUGGAUUCUUGUUUCUUGUUCUUUUGAAUAUAUGAAAUGAGGAUCUAUUAUUUUUGGGGAGUGCACGUGCAAUAACAAACAAAAAAACUCACAAGAGAGGAAUUAAUUGAAAAAAAAAAGGGGGCUUUGGUUGGUUGGUGGGAAAGGUGGUGGUUGUGGAAGGAAGGGGGGGGGGAAUGGGGGGGGUGGGGGGUUGUUGUGGGUUGCGUGGUUUAAUCAGGCUUAAAAUUCUUAUUAAUUAAAAUUUUCCCAAUUAAACCGGAGGAGGGGGCCGGAACCCCCCACCCCAACAGGACCUCCUUAAUUUUUUUUUGUUU
RNAcentral lists this unclassified non-coding RNA (490 nucleotides) under Trypanosoma otospermophili. Lineage: Eukaryota; Euglenozoa; Kinetoplastea; Trypanosomatida; Trypanosomatidae. The record is from RNAcentral.